AUUGAACGCUGGCGGCAGGCCUAACACAUGCAAGUCGAACGAGUGGCGGACGGGUGAGUAAUGUCUGGGAAACUGCCCGAUGGAGGGGGAUAACUUCUGGAAACGGUAGCUAAUACCGCAUACCAUCGGAUGUGCCAAGAGGGGAUUAGCUAGUAGGGGGGGUAACGGCUAACCUAGGCGACGAUCCCUAGCUGGUCUGAGAGGAUGACCGGCCACACUGGAACUGAGACACGGUCCAGACUCCUACGGGAGGCAGCAGUGGGGAAUAUUGCACAAGGGGCGAAAGCCUGAUGCAGCCAUGCCGCGUGUAUGAAGAAGGCCUUCGGGUUGUAAAGUACUUUCAGCGGGGAGGCGUGACCCGCAGAAGAAGCACCGGCUAACUCCGUGCCAGCAGCCGCGGUAAUUC
This 406-nucleotide ribosomal RNA is filed under the name uncultured bacterium. Its description in RNAcentral is "partial 16S ribosomal RNA". It matches the Rfam family "Bacterial small subunit ribosomal RNA", at positions 29 to 526 of the family's 1533-position model. The record is from RNAcentral.